Molecule: long non-coding RNA, 1412 nt
Organism: Protopterus annectens (West African lungfish)
Lineage: Eukaryota; Metazoa; Chordata; Ceratodontiformes; Protopteridae
Exons: 3
Source: RefSeq, a predicted model, not a curated record
CUGACUUCCAUGCCGUAGUUCAGCCUGGCUGCUGCCAUAGCAACACUGCUAAAACCUUCCCAAGCCAGCUAAAUGAAGCUGCCUAUACUGCUAGUGGAAUUUUUUGCUGUGGUUGUCCUGCUCGUUUCUGUUCUUGGCCUUCCAGUUCAGGCACUUGGGAGCUGUUGGUUGACAUUAUUUUCUUCACAAUGAGAAGAGUAAAGUACCAGAGAAGGAGAAACACACUUCAGACUGUGGCGAGAAGAAUGUGUACAAGCCCAAGUUUAUAAAAAUAAACAGUCUAGAAGAGUUUAACAAUUCCCACCUUAAAGAAAGGAGGCAAAGAAUGGAUGUGACAGAAAUUUCUAAGGACAUUGAAACAGGCCGCCAUUGACUUUCUAAAGUGCUGUAUACUAUACCAUGUCUAGCGUGGACCACCUUACUGCCAUAUGAGAGACCACCAUGGUAAUAUUUGAUUGUAUAUGAUGAGAAAGGAAAUGUUUUGUACUCCCUAAACUCCCCAACAUAGGGGCCCCUACCACAUAAUUGCUCUUUAUAUUCACUGUCUCCUGUUUUGCAUUAACUCAGUGAAGAUAUAAUAACUGAUUUCUGAGCUGAUUUGAACUUUGAUGGUUUAUAUUCACUAGGUGAUGCAAAUGCUUUAAACUAGGCUGCACUUAGUUUCAUUUUAAACAGUCAAAUGGAACAGUGAAACAGUAUAUUUAGUAAAAUAGGGUGUUGGGAUGUCAGGCACUGGUGAAACAAAUGUGACCCAUCAAAGCAUGACACAGAGCCACAGUGAGUGUCUUAUGAAUAAAACAAUACUUGACAAGUUAAGGUAACAGUAUGUGGAUUCAAUGAGAAGACACAAGUGGGCAAAUGCAAGAAAACAUUUAUUUCUAUAAGUAUAGUAGACGAUGCAACAAAAAUGUGGUGAUUUUGUUCAAGAAUGCAUGGCACAAACAUCAGUGACAGAAUAAGGUGUUUCUUAAGCAGGGCAUGCAACUUAUCUAGUAAGGAAGGAGAUGGAAGAAUUGCUCAACUUUGUGGUCUUUAUUUGCUGUCAAAUGCUGUUUCACGCUACUGUUAUGUUGAUUUUUCUUUGUAUGACCAGGAAAAUGCCCCACAUCUUGGAUUCAACGAGGGAACAUACCAGCCUAUGGUGCUUAUGAUAAGCAACGUGUGAUCACUGGAUUAGCUUUCUAGUACAUACACACAUACAUAAAUAAAGAUAAGGAGUGAUGUGAGGCCAAGAAGUAGUAAGUAAAGCAUUAGUCAUACAAACUGUAGCUGAAACACAAAUGCAAGGUGAUAAACUACAGUGCAGUAAUGUAACAGUAAUAUGGUCUUCUUACUCAAAGGCUGCAAACUAAAGUUGGCUCAGUCAGAGAAACAGAAUAAAACUUCACUGAUAUUUAUUAGGAGUGGGGAAA